Molecule: long non-coding RNA, 229 nt
Organism: Oncorhynchus keta (chum salmon)
Lineage: Eukaryota; Metazoa; Chordata; Actinopteri; Salmoniformes; Salmonidae
Exons: 3
Source: RefSeq, a predicted model, not a curated record
UGUGUCAUUUGAGGUGUGUGUGUGUGUGUGUGUGUGUCAUUUGAGGUGUGUGUGUGUGUGUGUGUGUGUGUCAUUUGAGGUGUGUGUGUGUGUGUGUCAUUUGAGGUGUGUGUGUGUGUGUGUCAUUUGAGGUGUGUGUGUGUGUGUGUCAUUUGAGGUGUGUGUGUGUGUGUGUCAUUUGAGGUGUGUGUGUGUGUGUGUGUGUGUGUGUGUGUGUGGCAUUUGAGGU